Molecule: non-coding RNA, 27 nt
Filed under: Bombyx mori (domestic silkworm)
Lineage: Eukaryota; Metazoa; Arthropoda; Insecta; Lepidoptera; Bombycidae
Source: RNAcentral
UUUAGGAUGUGAAAUUGCAGCUAUAGC